This 1352-nucleotide ribosomal RNA is filed under the name uncultured bacterium. RNAcentral describes it as "bacterial SSU rRNA". It matches the Rfam family "Bacterial small subunit ribosomal RNA", at positions 28 to 1381 of the family's 1533-position model. The record is from RNAcentral.
AUUGAACGCUGGCGGCAUGCCUUACACAUGCAAGUCGAACGGCAGCACGGAGCUUGCUCUGGUGGCGAGUGGCGAACGGGUGAGUAAUAUAUCGGAACGUACCCUAGAGUGGGGGAUAACGUAGCGAAAGUUACGCUAAUACCGCAUACGAUCUAAGGAUGAAAGUGGGGGAUCGCAAGACCUCAUGCUCGUGGAGCGGCCGAUAUCUGAUUAGCUAGUUGGUAGGGUAAAAGCCUACCAAGGCAUCGAUCAGUAGCUGGUCUGAGAGGACGACCAGCCACACUGGAACUGAGACACGGUCCAGACUCCUACGGGAGGCAGCAGUGGGGAAUUUUGGACAAUGGGCGAAAGCCUGAUCCAGCAAUGCCGCGUGAGUGAAGAAGGCCUUCGGGUUGUAAAGCUCUUUUGUCAGGGAAGAAACGGUGAGAGCUAAUAUCUUUUGCUAAUGACGGUACCUGAAGAAUAAGCACCGGCUAACUACGUGCCAGCAGCCGCGGUAAUACGUAGGGUGCAAGCGUUAAUCGGAAUUACUGGGCGUAAAGCGUGCGCAGGCGGUUUUGUAAGUCUGAUGUGAAAUCUCCGGGCUCAACCUGGGAAUUGCAUUGGAGACUGCAAGGCUAGAAUCUGGCAGAGGGGGGUAGAAUUCCACGUGUAGCAGUGAAAUGCGUAGAUAUGUGGAGGAACACCGAUGGCGAAGGCAGCCCCCUGGGUCAAGAUUGACGCUCAUGCACGAAAGCGUGGGGAGCAAACAGGAUUAGAUACCCUGGUAGUCCACGCCCUAAACGAUGUCUACUAGUUGUCGGGUCUUAAUUGACUUGGUAACGCAGCUAACGCGUGAAGUAGACCGCCUGGGGAGUACGGUCGCAAGAUUAAAACUCAAAGGAAUUGACGGGGACCCGCACAAGCGGUGGAUGAUGUGGAUUAAUUCGAUGCAACGCGAAAAACCUUACCUACCCUUGACAUGGCUGGAAUCCUUGAGAGAUCAGGGAGUGCUCGAAAGAGAACCAGUACACAGGUGCUGCAUGGCUGUCGUCAGCUCGUGUCGUGAGAUGUUGGGUUAAGUCCCGCAACGAGCGCAACCCUUGUCAUUAGUUGCUACGAAAGGGCACUCUAAUGAGACUGCCGGUGACAAACCGGAGGAAGGUGGGGAUGACGUCAAGUCCUCAUGGCCCUUAUGGGUAGGGCUUCACACGUCAUACAAUGGUACAUACAGAGCGCCGCCAACCCGCGAGGGGGAGCUAAUCGCAGAAAGUGUAUCGUAGUCCGGAUUGUAGUCUGCAACUCGACUGCAUGAAGUUGGAAUCGCUAGUAAUCGCGGAUCAGCAUGUCGCGGUGAAUACGUUCCCGGGUCU